Molecule: small RNA, 107 nt
Filed under: Marmota monax (woodchuck)
Lineage: Eukaryota; Metazoa; Chordata; Mammalia; Rodentia; Sciuridae
Source: RNAcentral
GCCAGGCAUGGUGGAGCAUGCCUGUAAUCCCAGCAACUUGGGAGCCUGAGGCAGGAAGAUCACAAGUUUGAGGCCUGUUUCAGCAACUUAGUGAGAACCUGUCUUAA